GAUGAAGAACGUAGCGAAAUGCGAUAAGUAAUGUGAAUUGCAGAAUUCAGUGAAACAUCGAAUCUUUGAACGCACAUUGCGCCCGCCAGUAUUCUGGCGGGCAUGCCUGUUCGAGCGUCAUUACAACCCUCAGGCCCCCGGGCCUGGCGUUGGGGAUCGGCGAGGCGCCCCCCGCGGGCACGCGCCGUCCCCCAAAUACAGUGGCGGUCCCGCCGCAGCUUCCAUUGCGUAGUAGCUAACACCUCGCAACUGGAGAGCGGCGCGGCCAUGCCGUAAAACACCCAACUUCUGAAUGUUGACCUCGAAUCAGGUAGGAAUACCCGCUGAACUUAAGCAUAUCAAUAAGCGGAGGA
This 353-nucleotide unclassified non-coding RNA is filed under the name soil metagenome. Its description in RNAcentral is "partial contains 5.8S ribosomal RNA, internal transcribed spacer 2, and large subunit ribosomal RNA". The stretch from base 1 to 120 matches the Rfam family "5.8S ribosomal RNA", at positions 35 to 154 of the family's 154-position model. The record is from RNAcentral.